RNAcentral lists this unclassified non-coding RNA (376 nucleotides) under fungal sp. RNAcentral's name for it is "partial internal transcribed spacer region". The stretch from base 1 to 46 matches the Rfam family "Eukaryotic small subunit ribosomal RNA", at positions 1786 to 1831 of the family's 1831-position model. Lineage: Eukaryota; Fungi. The record is from RNAcentral.
AAGUCGUAACAAGGUUUCCGUAGGUGAACCUGCGGAAGGAUCAUUACUAUUUAUUAAUUAUUAAAAUAAUUUUAUUUUAUUGAUUAAUUAAAUACAAACACCAAUCUGUGCUCUUUCUUUUUCCAUCCCACUCAUUUACAAAUUAUUUUUAUUUAAACUGAAUUAAUUGUGUUUAAGUGUUUGAACUUAAUUGUUCAACCUACUCACAUCUGUAUUGCUUAAUGUGUAUGAAACAGUUCUUACUGUCUCAUCCCCAUUCAAUACUUGUUGAACCACAGUGUCUAAUAGAUAUCACUGACUAUUGAUUAUAUUGAUAGUUGAUUGAUAUGUGUUACCACAGUGAAAACAACUCCGAACAAUGGAUAUCUCGGCUCUC